GCGAAAUGUGCGGUUAAAAUUACUGUUCACUUUGACUUAAUGUUUAUCAAACUUUUAAGCCACACUAAAUAGGGUCUAAAUCUGUUGUUUAAAAAAAAUGGAUAAGCACGACAAUUCUACUACAAAUAUUCUAAGGCUAUGUUGAGCCCUAUUUUUUUGGAAAUAUAUUUUGUGCUUAAAAAGUUGAAAAAAGUUUUGGCUUUAUGUGCAAAAAAGGGAAACUUUCAGACACUUGAAUCAUGAUUUGUACAAACUUAGUUCCAAUGUGGAUUACUUUGCUUGUGAAAAUUUUGAUAUCUUUAUAAUGAAUUUAUCUGUACAAGCACUAGAAAAUCAUUGAAAUAAAAUUUCUAAUCAUAUUUUCGAUUGAUUUGUUGUUAGACAGUUAAUCCUAUUUAGACAGUUAAUCCUAUUUGUAAAUGUAGGUACAAUGAACAUUACCAAAUGGUCUGUAGAUUUGUGAUGUUGUCAUGAAAUCUGAUGGUCUUUGACCUAUAUGCCAAGCUUCUCGAAAAUAUCAUGAGGUAAAUCUUCAAUUAAGCUAAGCAUAAAUGUCUUAAUCGAUUUUCUGGGUGUCAAGUUGUAUUAGAGAUGAAAUCACAACUGACAUAAUAGGGAAAUCCUCAAGCUAUGUGGUAUUGAAUUAUAGUUUUAUGUUUUAUAUUAACAAUAAGAUUAACAAGCAUUCAUUCAUUUGGUAAAUUAAUUCUUUUCAAUUUUUUGAGUUUUUACUUCUCUGUACUUGCUUAUGAUCAAUGAUUUCGUCUAUGUAGUUAAUUUAGCCAAUAUGCCGUUAACAUUCAUUUUUCUUCAUAUAAAGAUAGGACAUAAAGUUGCAUUCAUUCCUGGGGGUAUGUUAGCGCAAUAGCUUCAUGCAUUACAACUUUUGCGACGAUAGCUUUGACAAGUAGUUUCUUUGUGAAGUGUUAUAGUUCAAGUAUGUCAAUCAUGAUGCUUACACAUUUACUAUGGUUAGGUCGUCAGUAAUCUGCUUCAUCAUUCUGCUAGAAUCAAGAAAUCUUAAUCUUCUAUUCUCAAGACUCUCUGAAGCAAUGUAAUAUUUAUUUUUUUCUAUACUUUAUCUGUUUCCCCGUUUGAAUUUUCACCGUUUCCAAUUGAUUAAAGUAUUUCCCUAUUUGUUUAUGUAGUGGGUUCACUUUCGUGAAUUUCCAGUUGUCACAUUAUUUUUUAAUGUAUUUAUCUUUUCUCUAUGUAUUUUUCUAUUUCCUAAUGGUUCUAAUUUGAAUGGCUAAAGUUGUAGGAGCAUGUGUUUAUAUUGCAUUUGAAGUUAAAAUAUACCAUUCCAUUCUAUUUAAACUUUCAUGCACAUUUCAAUUAUUUACAAACUUAUAUACUCCAAACUAAAUGUUCCAUUUUGGAUAUAUAAACAUUUGUAAUACUCCUACAGUAUAG
Molecule: long non-coding RNA, 1413 nt
Filed under: Olea europaea (common olive)
Lineage: Eukaryota; Viridiplantae; Streptophyta; Magnoliopsida; Lamiales; Oleaceae
Description: long non-coding RNA (OEUR_LNC011415)
Source: RNAcentral